RNAcentral lists this ribosomal RNA (494 nucleotides) under uncultured bacterium. RNAcentral's name for it is "partial 16S ribosomal RNA". It matches the Rfam family "Bacterial small subunit ribosomal RNA", at positions 28 to 507 of the family's 1533-position model. The record is from RNAcentral.
GACGAACGCUGGCGGCGUGCUUAACACAUGCAAGUCGAACGGUGAAGCGCCUUCCUUUUUGGUGGGUGUGGAUGAGUGGCGAACGGGUGAGUAACACGUGAGUAACCUGCCCCCUUCUUCUGGAUAACCGCAUGAAAGUGUGGCUAAUACGGGAUAUUCUGGGUCUGUCGCAUGAUGGGUCUGGGAAAGAUAUUGUUUCGGUGGGGGGGGGGCUCGCGGCCUAUCAGCUUGUUGGUGGGGUGAGGGCCUACCAGGGCGGUGACGGGUGGCCGGCCUGAGAGGGUGGACGGUCACACUGGGACUGAGACACGGCCCAGACUCCUACGGGAGGCAGCAGUGGGGAAUAUUGCACAAUGGGCGCAAGCCUGAUGCAGCGACGCCGCGUGAGGGAUGGAGGCCUUCGGGUUGUGAACCUCUUUCGCCAGUGAAGCAGGCCUGCCUCGUUUGUGGGUGGGUUGACGGUAGCUGGAUAAGAAGCGCCGGCUAACUACGUG